GUGCCAGCCGCCGCGGUAAUACGGAGGGGGCUAGCGUUGUUCGGAAUUACUGGGCGUAAAGCGCACGUAGGCGGCUUUGUAAGUUAGAGGUGAAAGCCCAGAGCUCAACUCUGGAACUGCCUUUAAGACUGCAUCGCUUGAAUUGUGGAGAGGUAAGUGGAAUUCCGAGUGUAGAGGUGAAAUUCGUAGAUAUUCGGAAGAACACCAGUGGCGAAGGCGACUUACUGGACACAUAUUGACGCUGAGGUGCGAAAGCGUGGGGAGCAAACAGGAUUAGAUACCCCUGUAGUCC
RNAcentral lists this ribosomal RNA (292 nucleotides) under uncultured bacterium. RNAcentral describes it as "partial 16S ribosomal RNA". It matches the Rfam family "Bacterial small subunit ribosomal RNA", at positions 505 to 796 of the family's 1533-position model. The record is from RNAcentral.